UAGCAGCACAUCAUGGUUUACAUGUUCUUGCCCAGAUGCGAAUCAUUAUUUGCUGCUUUA
Molecule: microRNA precursor, 60 nt
Filed under: Sarcophilus harrisii (Tasmanian devil)
Lineage: Eukaryota; Metazoa; Chordata; Mammalia; Dasyuromorphia; Dasyuridae
Description: Sha-Mir-15-P1b_pre stem-loop
Source: RNAcentral